Molecule: ribosomal RNA, 508 nt
Filed under: uncultured bacterium
Lineage: Bacteria
Description: bacterial SSU rRNA
Rfam family: Bacterial small subunit ribosomal RNA
Source: RNAcentral
ACACUGUACGAGUUUGAUCAUGGCUCAGGAUGAACGCUAGCGGCAGGCCUAAUACAUGCAAGUCGAACGGAAUAUAGUUUUCGGAUUAUAUUUAGUGGCGCACGGGUGAGUAACACGUACAUAACUUACCCUCAAGAGGGGGAUAGCCUUGGGAAACUGAGCGUAAUACCCCAUAGUAUUAUUGAACGGCAUCGUUUGAUAAUUAAAGCUACGGCGCUUGAGGAUAGAUGUGCGUCUGAUUAGCUAGUUGGUAAGGUAACGGCUUACCAAGGCGACGAUCAGUAGGGGGCGUGAGAGCGUGGCCCCCCACACGGGUACUGAGACACGAACCCGACUCCUACGGGAGGCAGCAGUAAGGAAUAUUGGUCAAUGGAGGGAACUCUGAACCAGCCAUGCCGCGUGAAGGAUGACGGCCCUCUGGGUUGUAAACUUCUUUUGGAUGGGGCGAAAAAACGGGAUUUAUCCUGGACUGACGGUACCAUCAGAAUAAGCACCGGCUAACUCCGUG